UGCGGGAUGGAGCAGUCUGGUAGCUCGUUAGGCUCAUAACCUAAAGGUCGUUGGUUCAAAUCCAGCUCCCGCAUCCA
This 77-nucleotide transfer RNA is filed under the name Acinetobacter sp. Its description in RNAcentral is "tRNA-Met". It matches the Rfam family "tRNA". From Rfam's summary of the family: Transfer RNA (tRNA) molecules are approximately 80 nucleotides in length. Their secondary structure includes four short double-helical elements and three loops (D, anti-codon, and T loops). Lineage: Bacteria; Pseudomonadati; Pseudomonadota; Gammaproteobacteria; Moraxellales; Moraxellaceae. RNAcentral also lists the same sequence under 4 other names. The record is from RNAcentral.